This 963-nucleotide ribosomal RNA is filed under the name Escherichia coli. RNAcentral describes it as "partial 23S ribosomal RNA". It matches the Rfam family "Bacterial large subunit ribosomal RNA", at positions 344 to 1309 of the family's 2925-position model. The record is from RNAcentral. Lineage: Bacteria; Pseudomonadati; Pseudomonadota; Gammaproteobacteria; Enterobacterales; Enterobacteriaceae.
GGAAAGGCGCGCGAUACAGGGUGACAGCCCCGUACACAAAAAUGCACAUGCUGUGAGCUCGAUGAGUAGGGCGGGACACGUGGUAUCCUGUCUGAAUAUGGGGGGACCAUCCUCCAAGGCUAAAUACUCCUGACUGACCGAUAGUGAACCAGUACCGUGAGGGAAAGGCGAAAAGAACCCCGGCGAGGGGAGUGAAAAAGAACCUGAAACCGUGUACGUACAAGCAGUGGGAGCACGCUUAGGCGUGUGACUGCGUACCUUUUGUAUAAUGGGUCAGCGACUUAUAUUCUGUAGCAAGGUUAACCGAAUAGGGGAGCCGAAGGGAAACCGAGUCUUAACUGGGCGUUAAGUUGCAGGGUAUAGACCCGAAACCCGGUGAUCUAGCCAUGGGCAGGUUGAAGGUUGGGUAACACUAACUGGAGGACCGAACCGACUAAUGUUGAAAAAUUAGCGGAUGACUUGUGGCUGGGGGUGAAAGGCCAAUCAAACCGGGAGAUAGCUGGUUCUCCCCGAAAGCUAUUUAGGUAGCGCCUCGUGAAUUCAUCUCCGGGGGUAGAGCACUGUUUCGGCAAGGGGGUCAUCCCGACUUACCAACCCGAUGCAAACUGCGAAUACCGGAGAAUGUUAUCACGGGAGACACACGGCGGGUGCUAACGUCCGUCGUGAAGAGGGAAACAACCCAGACCGCCAGCUAAGGUCCCAAAGUCAUGGUUAAGUGGGAAACGAUGUGGGAAGGCCCAGACAGCCAGGAUGUUGGCUUAGAAGCAGCCAUCAUUUAAAGAAAGCGUAAUAGCUCACUGGUCGAGUCGGCCUGCGCGGAAGAUGUAACGGGGCUAAACCAUGCACCGAAGCUGCGGCAGCGACGCUGAUGCGUUGUUGGGUAGGGGAGCGUUCUGUAAGCCUGCGAAGGUGUGCUGUGAGGCAUGCUGGAGGUAUCAGAAGUGCGAAUGCUGACAUAAGUAA